RNAcentral lists this ribosomal RNA (466 nucleotides) under uncultured bacterium. Its description in RNAcentral is "partial 16S ribosomal RNA". It matches the Rfam family "Bacterial small subunit ribosomal RNA", at positions 28 to 507 of the family's 1533-position model. The record is from RNAcentral.
GACGAACGCUGGCGGCGUGCCUAACACAUGCAAGUCGAACGAUCGAGCGAGAGCUUGCUUUCUCGAGCGAGUGGCGCACGGGUGAGAUACGCGUGAGGCACCCGUCUCAAAGAGGGGUACACCAGUUGGACACGACUGCUUAUACCGCAUAAGCACACGCCUCGGCGUCGAGUAGGGGGAAAAGGGGCGAUCCGCUUUUAGAUGGCCUCGCGUCCGAUUAGCUAGUUGGUGGGGUAAUGGCCCACCAAGGCGACGACCGGUAGCCGGCCUGAGAGGUUGAACGGCCACGCUGGGGAUGAGACACGGCCCAGAAUCCUACGGGAGGGAGCAGUGGAGAAUAUUGCGGGAGGGGGGAAACCCUGAUGCAGCGACGCGGGGUGGAGGAAGAAGGUCUUCGGAUUGUAAACUCCGGUUGUAGGGGAAGAUAAUGACGGUACCCAACGAGAAAGUGACGGCUAACUACGUG